This 109-nucleotide ribosomal RNA is filed under the name Seriola lalandi dorsalis. The record is from RNAcentral. Lineage: Eukaryota; Metazoa; Chordata; Actinopteri; Carangiformes; Carangidae.
GCUUACGGCCAUACCACUCUGAAAGCGCCCGAUCUCGGAAGCCAAGCAGGGUCGGGCCUGGUUAGUACUUGGAUGGGAGACCGCCUGGGAAUACCAGGUGCUGUAAGCU